AUAAAAGCAGGGACCUAUUGCCGAUAAAAAUGUGAAUCGGUCUCUCGUAAACGUCAGGGAAAUAUAGCUGGGCAUCGUUAUUGGGUGAACCUCUUGAUUAAUUCAUGAUGGAAAAGGUUCAGUAAACGAAGCUAUAUUC
Small nucleolar RNA from Cynara cardunculus var. scolymus (artichoke), 139 nucleotides. RefSeq annotates it as small nucleolar RNA snoR74. NCBI's taxonomy places the organism in Eukaryota, Viridiplantae, Streptophyta, Magnoliopsida, Asterales, Asteraceae. The transcript has a single exon. The record is from RefSeq and is a predicted model, not a curated record.